AUGGUGAGCUGGCCCGACAUUUGCAAACCCAAAGACCAGGGUGGCCUUGGGAUCUUGUCAUCUCGUCGCAUUAACAUUGCUCUCCUGACCCGCUGGCUGUGGCGUAUCGCCAAUGGGGAGGGAGGCCUCUGGCUUACCAUCAUCCAUAAUAAAUACCUUCGGGGCCAACCUCUGGCCUUUUGCCAACGUACAGGUGGAUCCCAGUUCUGGCAGCCCGUGAUCCAACUUCUGCCCGCGCUCCGCAUCGGCACGUCCAUCUCUGUUGGCUCCGGGUCCUCGACCCUGUUCUGGUUCGACCGAUGGCUAGGGGACUCCCCCCCUGCUGUGCCAUUCCCAGGAUUCUUUGCCAUUGCGGCGGACCCUCAGGUCUUUGUCCAGACGGCCCUUAUUGACUUGGGGCGUCUUGCUUUCCGUCGUCCCUUCGGCCCCCUCGAGGUGGCUGCUUGGGACUCCCUCCUCCAAGACGUCGCCCUUAUGCCGAUGAUCGUCGAGGAGGACCAGGAUGCCAUUUCCUGGCGCCUUGACCCGUCUGGCCGCUUCUCUACGAAGUCGUUGUACGCCGCCAUUGCGCCUUCGACGGCCCCGAAACCCUUUAGCCUGAUCUGGGACAUCCGCCUACACUACAAAAAAAUACACUUCCGUGAUGAUACGUGUUUGUCACAGUAG
RNAcentral lists this ribosomal RNA (666 nucleotides) under Triticum aestivum (bread wheat). RNAcentral's name for it is "partial small subunit ribosomal RNA". Lineage: Eukaryota; Viridiplantae; Streptophyta; Magnoliopsida; Poales; Poaceae. The record is from RNAcentral.